This 187-nucleotide ribosomal RNA is filed under the name uncultured bacterium. RNAcentral's name for it is "partial 16S rRNA". It matches the Rfam family "Bacterial small subunit ribosomal RNA", at positions 338 to 522 of the family's 1533-position model. The record is from RNAcentral.
CCUACGGGGGGCGGCAGUAAGGAAUAUUGGUCAAUGGGCGCAAGCCUGAACCAGCCAUGCCGCGUGGAGGAAGACGGCGCUAUGCGUUGUAAACUUCUUUUGUCAGGGAAUAAAUGUAGGUACGUGUACUUACUUGAAGGUACCUGAAGAAUAAGCAUCGGCUAACUCCGUGCCAGCAGCCCCGGUC